AUGUACCACUCGUACACUGCGGUUCCUGUGCGCCGUCCGCACCCACCUGACGACUGCUCGCGACGUUUUGUUAGCC
This 76-nucleotide small RNA is filed under the name Xanthomonas campestris pv. coriandri. RNAcentral's name for it is "sX9 sRNA". It matches the Rfam family "Xanthomonas sRNA sX9". RNAcentral also lists the same sequence under 4 other names. The record is from RNAcentral. Lineage: Bacteria; Pseudomonadati; Pseudomonadota; Gammaproteobacteria; Lysobacterales; Lysobacteraceae.